Molecule: ribosomal RNA, 254 nt
Filed under: uncultured bacterium
Lineage: Bacteria
Description: partial 16S ribosomal RNA
Rfam family: Bacterial small subunit ribosomal RNA
Source: RNAcentral
UACGGGAAGGGCAAGCGUUAUUCGGCAUGACUGGGCGUAAAGAGUCCGUAGACGGUAAAACAAGUUUUUUGUUAAAUCUUAAGACCCAAUCUUAACGCAGCAAUUAAUACUGUUUUACUACGAGUUUAAUACAGAAAAGUAGAAUUUUAUACGAUAGAGGUGAAAUUUGUAAAUAUAUAAAGGAAUGCCAAUAGCGAAGGCAACUUUUUGGUAUAGACUGACGUUGAGGGACGAAAGCGUGGGUAGCAAACGGG